AGUGAACGCUGGCGGUAGGCCUAACACAUGCAAGUCGAACGGCAGCACAGGAGAGCUUGCUCUCUGGGUGGCGAGUGGCGGACGGGUGAGGAAUACAUCGGAAUCUACUCUGUCGUGGGGGAUAACGUAGGGAAACUUACGCUAAUACCGCAUACGACCUACGGGUGAAAGCAGGGGACCUUCGGGCCUUGCACGAUUGAAUGAGCCGAUGUCGGAUUAGCUAGUUGGCGGGGUAAAGGCCCACCAAGGCGACGAACCGUAGCUGGUCUGAGGGGAUAAUCAGCCACACUGGAACUGAGACACGUGCCAGACUCCUACGGGAGGCAGCAGUGGGGAAUAUUGGACAAUGGGCGCAAGCCUGAUCCAGCCAUACCGCGUGGGUGAAGAAGGCCUUCGGGUUGUAAAGCCCUUUUGUUGGGAAAGAAAUCCAGCUGGCUAAUACCCGGUUGGGAUGACGGUACCCAAAGAAUAAGCACCGGCUAACUUCGUGCCAGCCGCCGCCGUAA
Molecule: ribosomal RNA, 506 nt
Filed under: uncultured bacterium
Lineage: Bacteria
Description: partial 16S ribosomal RNA
Rfam family: Bacterial small subunit ribosomal RNA
Source: RNAcentral